RNAcentral lists this long non-coding RNA (2928 nucleotides) under Taeniopygia guttata (zebra finch). RNAcentral describes it as "lncRNA (ENSTGUG00000026693.1)". The record is from RNAcentral. Lineage: Eukaryota; Metazoa; Chordata; Aves; Passeriformes; Estrildidae.
GCUCCACCAGUCACAGGGGCAGAGCAGAUCCUGGGUGUGAAGAACUGGGGGAUGCUCCUGCAGCUCUUGGCAAGUCACCACCAGUCUCACACUACCUUAUAUGAAGCAGUUGCUUGGGCCAAAAACGUUUUCCAGAAGAGGGCACUGGAAAAGCGUUUGUUGGUAGGAGAAGACUGUGGCCAUACCUUCCUGGUAUUUCUCCUCCUCACUUUCUCUCCACACAGGGCUCUUGCUGCUGUGGAGGGACAGGGGAUGGGGAGGGCUCUCUGACUUCCCUGUAGCUGUCAAUGUCUCCUACAUCCUGCAGUACAGCAGCAGCAGCCCGGUGGGCCCUCACUCUGCUGAUUAAUGGGUGUCCUAGAUCUUACAGACCCUUGUAUUUGGGACAAGCUGGAGCCAAGCCCAGGUUCCUUGAGCUUUGGGCGUGUGGGGAGAGCUGCCCAGUGAGAGAGAGAUGAAGUGGCCAGCACCACCACAGCAGCUGGAGAAAACCUCAAGGCCACGAACUGCUGCUCCCAGCUUUACUUGUGCAAAGCAUCAGUGGAUAAGAACAAGAAGGUCCUUCACUGGGAGGAACAGUUUUGGGGUUUUUUACCAUGAAGGAUCCAAAAUGCUGCAUUUUUUCAGAAUUCACCCAUGGUAUUCAACUAUUGAAUGCUUUUUCUUGAGUAGACUGCUUUCCACUUCGAUUUAAGAGGGGAAAUAGGCCCUCAGCCAAAAACAGGAAGAACAGCCAAAUACUUUCAGUCUUGGAUAUGUUUAUAUGAAGAAACACAACAAGAAAGAACAAAAGUAAGGUCUUCCUCCAGGACACGGACACAGUUUGUCUUUCUUUUGGAAGGAUUUCAGUGAAGAGAGUGAAAUGGCUGCCUCCCCUUGUUCAGAACUCCCUUGGUUUUCUGCAUAAGGUUAAAACAGAGCCUUUUGUACAGACUCCCCCUUGCCCAUGGAUGGUUUUGCUAUGAUGGUUUUGCUAUCUGAAUGACAGUCCCAUAGAUUUCUUUAGAAAAAGAAAUCUGAAGAUCUACUUCUUCAACAAACUGCAGACUACCAUAAUUUUGGGCCAAAUUCAACUGAUGCUACAGAGAAGAGAAUGCAGAAGUAGCACAGACUCUCCUCUUAACUCAUUUGGGAAGCACAGGCUGUUCUGAGGGUGACUUUUUCACUGUCAAACUUUAAUAUUAAAACCAUGGUUGAGGAAUACUUUUUUUUUUUUUAAUUUGCCUUAUUGCUAAUGUAUUAUGUAAUGCUAAUGUCCUGCUAUAAAAAGAUGUUGUGAUUUGCACUUCUCCCCAUGCAGCCAAACUUGUGGGGUUUGAGUAGCAGGCACAUCAGGCCUGGCCAUUACCAUAUAGGCUGUAACUAUGGUCCAAGUGAUUCCCAACCACCAAAGAUCAGUAAUAUUACACUGUAGCUUUAGGAGGGUCAUUAUGACUGUAUGCUGCUGCUGAGCCUGAUAGACCUCUGUUCCUCCAAAUCGCUCCAUCACAGUGAACUUCUCAUCUCUGCUAUAGAGAUCCUUGGGAAGCAAACCAAACCCCGCUGAAUGGGCUGCUAGACCCCACAGAGGAGAAGGUCAGCAGCAGAGUUUGUGCCUGUUGAUGACACCCCUUUCCAGUGAGCACAGAUGGACACAGAGAAGAAUAUUCAGACAAAUAAAAGGCUGGAUUCUGUUUAUUUAUGAGAUUGUGUUUGCUUCUUUCUUGACUGAAGCUUUAACAUGCAAGUCAAGCAAGGCCAGAACAUUUCAGAAAUACAGUUCCCAAGAACUGUAAGAAUGAUGUCAGGAAAGUAUUUCUUUAUAUGUUUAUAUGAUUAUAUAUUCAAAUAUAUGCAUACAUAUUUGGCUAGAAUGAGAUAAACUCAUAAUACAUGACAAGCCAGAAAAAGUGUACCUAUAGCUGUGCACAUACCUAUGAAUGUACAAAUAUACUAACCUGGAUAAAUAAACAUAGAGAAUAAAAGAUGGAAAAGAACAUGAAGAGAAUCAAGAAAGAUGCAAUACAAAGAAUGGCAAGAGACAAGCAAGAAAUCCAUGGAGUAAUUGAAGUUGUAAAUGUGACUUACAUCAUACAUCCCAUCUGGCCACGAUCCUCUUUCCUUCUGAGAAGGGAACAGAGGGAACAGUGUUGAACACUACAAGAACCUGGUUCAGAUACAGAUCUGCAAGGUCUUACAGCAAUGCCCAAAUGUGAUGUCUGAGAAUGGGUACUGGACUGGUCUCUUUUGCACAGCCCUAGAUCUGGAACAGCGUUCCUGGAGUCCGUGAAGUUACUUCAGAACUGUACCAGUGCAAGCAGAGAUAAAAAUCUUCUGAGGAUUUAUGUAAUCCUAGAAAAGGAUUUGGUCAAAGGAAACAAAGCAAAAACAAAGGAAGAAUGUGAGCAUUUUGCUUCACACCCUUUGAAGCGUUGUGUCUUCUACAAGGGAGUAACCUAAUCCACAUUUAUACCCAUGUUUUUCUUCCACAAUUUACUCCAGAGAUUUUCCUUAAACAAUAAAUAGGAAGUACUCUCACAUACAGCUGUGCAGGAUAUCUAGUUCACAAGCCAUUUUUCCAGGGUGGGAGCUCGUCCGUUAGGCAUCACAGUCAUGGAAAAGAAAAUACUGAAUGUGAUGCAGGAAGCAACAUUGCUGGCUUUCUCAUUUAGCAUCCUUUCUAUACCAGAGUUGGACAAGAUAUCCCUAGGUGACUACCUGGAUGAAAAUGAGUUGUGUUCCAGAUACUUUGACCCAGGGAAAGUGCCAUCAACCUCCCAGCAGUGGUCCUGUUAACUUUGUGAUGAGCUUUGCAAAAUAAAAUGCAGACCACCUGAAGUUGCUCAGCAGCAGCACUUAAUUUUGGAGAUUAUUCCUUAAGAAUGUACCUGAUAACACUGAUGCUCCUAAGAUGAUUUUCCAGAAGGUCCUGAUCUGGACAGAGAUGCA